Molecule: long non-coding RNA, 914 nt
Filed under: Zonotrichia albicollis (white-throated sparrow)
Lineage: Eukaryota; Metazoa; Chordata; Aves; Passeriformes; Passerellidae
Description: lncRNA (ENSZALG00000002075.1)
Source: RNAcentral
UCAUCGGUGUCCGGGUUCCUGCUGAGCUUCCAGACGUGGACAAAGGAAUCCUCUGCACCCGAGAGCAGCUGCCAGGGGAGCAGGGGGACAGUGGGGACACCUCGGAGGUGGCAGUGCCACUGGCAGGGUGGGAUUUGAGGUUGGGAUGCCAGGUGGGAUGUGGAGUGAGAUGCCAGGCUGGGAUUUCAGGAUGGAAUUCCAAACUGGGAUUUCUGGCUGGAAUGCCAGUUGACAUGUUGGGAUUUCAGGAUAGAAUUCAAGGUGGGAUGCCAAGUUGGGAUGCCAGGUUGGGAUUUCAGGAUGGAAGGCCAGGUUGGAAUGCCAGGCUGAGAUGUCAGGUUGGAAUGCCAGGUGGAUGUUGGGGUGGGAUGCAGGUUGGGAUUUCAGCUUAGAAUGCCAGGUUAAGAUUUUAAGUUGGAAUGCCAGGUUGGGAUUUCAGGAUGGAAUUCAAGGUGGGAUGUCAGGUUUGGAUUUCAGGUUGGAAUACCAGGUGGAUGUUGGUGUGGGAUGCAGGCUGGGAUUUCAGGUUGGGAUUUCAGGCUGGAAUGCCAGGGUGAGAUGUCAGGUUGGAAUUUCAGGUGGAUGUUGGGGUGGGAUGCAGGUUGGGAUUUCAGGCUGGAAUUCAAGGUGGGAUGAAAGGUUGGGAUUUCAGGUUGGAAUGCCAGGUUGGGAUUUCAGGAUGGAAUUCAAGAUAGGAUGUCAGGUUCAGAUUUCAGGUUGGAAUACCAGGUGGAUGUCGGUGUGGGAUGCAGGCUGGGAUUUCAGGUUGGGAUUUCAGGCUGGUAUGCCAGGGUGAGAUGCCAGGUUGGAAUGCCAGGUGGAUGUCGGUGUGGGAUGCAGGCUGGGAUAUCGGGCAGGAUGCCAGCAUGGGAUGCUUUGGGUGCCCCCAGCCGUGCCCGUUCCCCCCGUACCUU